GACGAACGCUGGCGGCGUGCCUAAUGCAUGCAAGUCGCACGCAGGGUGCUUGCACUCUGAGUGGCGCACGGCUGAGGAUCACGUGGGAACAUGCCUCCUUGUGGGGGACAACACCACGAAAGCGGUGCUAAUCCCGCAUACGCUCUCGUGAGAGAGGAAAGCGGUAACGCGCAGGGAGAGUGGCCCGCGGCCCAUCAGGU
Molecule: ribosomal RNA, 200 nt
Filed under: uncultured bacterium
Lineage: Bacteria
Description: partial 16S ribosomal RNA
Rfam family: Bacterial small subunit ribosomal RNA
Source: RNAcentral